This is a long non-coding RNA of Haliotis rubra (blacklip abalone), 146 nucleotides long. RefSeq lists it as uncharacterized. Lineage: Eukaryota; Metazoa; Mollusca; Gastropoda; Lepetellida; Haliotidae. The transcript has 3 exons. The record is from RefSeq and is a predicted model, not a curated record.
CAAGAUGAAAUGACAUACUGAAACCUAGGAUCCAUGCUUACAAUAAGCUUCGAUAUUUAAACCAAAUUAGACCCCACCAUAGUUUUCUGUUGAAUCAAUGAUUUGAUCCUUACCAAAGUGUGAAUAGUAGACUGUCAGAAUCUUAC